RNAcentral lists this ribosomal RNA (271 nucleotides) under uncultured bacterium. RNAcentral's name for it is "partial 16S ribosomal RNA". It matches the Rfam family "Bacterial small subunit ribosomal RNA", at positions 524 to 794 of the family's 1533-position model. The record is from RNAcentral.
UACGAAGGGUGCAAGCGUUACUCGGAAUUACUGGGCGUAAAGCGUGCGUAGGUGGUUAUUUAAGUCCGUUGUGAAAGCCCUGGGCUCAACCUGGGAACUGCAGUGGAUACUGGAUGACUAGAAUGUGGUAGAGGGUAGCGGAAUUCCUGGUGUAGCAGUGAAAUGCGUAGAGAUCAGGAGGAACAUCCAUGGCGAAGGCAGCUACCUGGACCAACAUUGACACUGAGGCACGAAAGCGUGGGGAGCAAACAGGAUUAGAUACCCCUGUAGU